UACGGGGGGGGCAAGCGUUGUCCGGAUUUACUGGGCGUAAAGAGCGCGCAGGCGGUCGAUUUAGUCGCGUGUGAAAGCCCCCGGCUCAACUGGGGAGGGUCACGCGAUACUGAUCGACUCGAAGGCAGGAGAGGGUAGUGGAAUUCCCGGUGUAGCAGUGAAAUGCGUAGAUAUGCGGAGGAACACCGAUGGCGAAGGCAAUCCCCUGGACCUGUACUGACGCUCAUGCACGAAAGCGUGGGGAGCAAACAGG
RNAcentral lists this ribosomal RNA (253 nucleotides) under uncultured bacterium. RNAcentral's name for it is "partial 16S ribosomal RNA". It matches the Rfam family "Bacterial small subunit ribosomal RNA", at positions 524 to 776 of the family's 1533-position model. The record is from RNAcentral.